AAAAAAGAAGUUCUCUCUCUCUCUCUAGACCAUCACCCUCAUGCCGGCUCUCUCUCUCCAUUCUCACCGCUCAUUCCUCCGCCGCCACCUUCAACUGCACCACCCCCACCAACUGCCACGUGCUCAUCGACUUCGUCCCCACAAACACCACCGCUCUCAACACCGUCAAGACCCUCUUCAACAUCACCCAGCCACCUCCGCACCCUCCUCAGAGCCAACAACCUCCCCCUCUCGACCCGACCCGACUCGACUCACCCGUCCCCGCUGUCAGCAAGCUUCUCGUCCCCUUCUCUUGCACCAAGCCUCAGAUCUGGGUCACCACAGACGCCGCUGUCGCCACCUCUCUCUCUACCAAGCCUUCCCUCCGACCUACCACCGUCCCUCGAAAUUUCAAAGGGGUAAGAAAUCAAGGUAAGUUCUUCAAUUUUUCUGGUUUAAUUAGUUUUGAUGAUAGAUUUAUGUGUUUUUGUUUAAUUUGAUUUUGAUUUUAAUUUUGGUUAGGAUGUGAUUGGUAUGAUGGUGGUGGCAUAUAUGGUGGUUAUUUGGUACGAUGGUGGUGGUGGUGGUGGUAUAUCUGGGGCAAAUUGUUGGCAUGAAAUUGAAAGGGAGAUACUUUAUUGAAGUUUACUGACCCCCAGUAGAAGUUUACUGACCCCCAAUAGAAGUUUACUGGGGGGGGGGGGGGGGCGAGUAAACUUCCACUGGGUUUACUAGGGGACAAUAAAUUUGUUUAUUACUGUAAGAAUGAGUAUAUGUUGUGUAUAAUUGGCAUGAAAUUGAAAGGGAGAUACUGUAUUGAAUUUUACUGACUCCCAGUAGAAGUUUACUGGGGGCAGUAAACUUCUACUGGGUUCACUAGGAGCUAAUAAAGUUGUUUAUUAAGGUAAGAAUUGGUAUCUGUUGUGUGUUGUGCCCCUGAAAUUGAAAGGGAUCGGAGUUAUUUUUUGCCAGUUUACUGUGGGGGGGGGGGGUUAGUAAAUUUUUUCCAUAUGCAGUUUAUAAAUGCAAGUUUUUACUACUUAUAUGCAAGAUGAGAAGAAGUUCAAGACAUUUAAUUGUGACUUCUGAAACCUGCGGUGGUGGUGGUAUUUGGGGCGGUCGGAGUGAGUGGAUAAAAACUUGCAGUUGGUCGUUUUUUUUUUUUUUUUUAAAUUUUUUCUUCAGCCUUUAGCAACGGAAUUCAACUAUUCAGUCUCCUAAGUGGAUACUUUUUUUUUAUUAUAAAAUAAAAUCCGUCGCCUAAGUGCUUAGGAGACGAAAGUAUUCAGUCGCNNNNNNNNNNNNNNNNNNNNCUCUCUCUCUCUCUCUCUCUCUCUCUCUCUCUCUAGACCAUCACUCUCAUGCCGACACUCUCUCUCCAUUCUCAUCGCUCCUUCCUUCGCCGCCACCUUCAACUGCACCACCCCCACCAACGCCACCUCCAACUGCCACGCGCUCAUCGACUUCGUCCCCACAAACGCCACCACAUUCAACACAGUCAAGACCCUCUUCAACAUCACCCAGCCACCUCCGCACCCUUCUCGGAGCCAACAACCUCCCCCUCUCGACCCGACCCGACUCGACUCACUGGUCCCUGCCGCUAGCAAGCUCCUCGUCCCCUUCUCUUGCACCAAGCCUCAGAUCUAGGUCACCACAGACGCCGCUGCCGCCACCUUUCUCUCUUCCCGCCGACCCACCACCGUCCCUCGAAAUUUCAAAGGGGUAAGAUAUCAAUGUAAGUUCUUCAAUUUUUUUGGUUUAAUUAGUUUUGAUGACAGAUUUAUGUGUUUUUGUUUAAUUUGAUUAUGAUUUUAAUUUUGGUUAGGAUGUGAUUGGUAUGAUGGUGGUGGCAUAUAUGGUGGUUAUUUGGUACGAUGGUGGUGGUGGUGGUGGUAUAUUUAGGGCAGACUGUUGGCAUGAAAUUGAAAGGGAGAUACUGUAUUGAAGUUUACUGACCCCCAGUAGAAGUUUACCGGGGGCAGUAAACUUCCACUGGGUUUACUAGGAGGCAAUAAAUUUGUUUAUUACUGUAAGAAUGAGUAUCUAUUGUGUAUAAUUGGCAUGAAAUUGAAAGGGAGAUACUGUAUUGAAUUUUACUGACCUCCAGUAGAAGUUUAUUGGGGGGCAGUAAACUUCUACUGGGUUCACUAGGAGCUAAUAAAGUUGUCUAUUAAGAUAAGAAUUGAUAUCUGUUGUGUGUUGUGUCCUUGAAAUUGAAAGGGAGUUAUUUUUUGCAAGUUUACUGAUCCUCAGUAGAAGUUUACUAGGGGGGCAGUAAAUUUUAUUUUUUCCAUAUGCAGUUUAUAAAUGCAAAUUUUUACUACUUAUAUGCAGGAUGAGAAGAAGUUCAAGACAUUUAGUUGUGACUUCUGAAAC
Molecule: long non-coding RNA, 2355 nt
Filed under: Fragaria vesca (wild strawberry)
Lineage: Eukaryota; Viridiplantae; Streptophyta; Magnoliopsida; Rosales; Rosaceae
Description: long non-coding RNA (FVES_LNC001385)
Source: RNAcentral